CCUCCUGUUUAUGUGGUAGUUACAAAUUGGUUGAACCACUUACAAAUUCAGCAGUGAAACCUAGUGUGUAAAAGGAAGGAUAGAAUAUCAUGCCUGGCAGAUCUCAAUCUGUCUCUUCAAGUCAAAGUUCUGAUUUUGAACUUCCUCCACUAUUAAAGCCCUUUCCAAUGCACUUCGCAGAAUCCUCUCCGCUUCAAGCAAUGCUGACUCUUUUGACUUUCUUCAAGAGGAGCAAUGAUGCUCUCCAACGGAACAGAAUCAUCAUCCCGUUGAUCUUCGUGUAACCUUCUAAGAGCUGCUUCUGCAGCGUAUUGUGCAGCCUGUGCGUCUUCUUUUUCAUCGGCAAGUUUCUUGAUUUCAAGAUUCUGCAUAUGAUCAUAUUUUUGAAAGAUGCGUUAGAGUCCAGCAAUGUUGUUCACUCUUCCAACAUAUACUAUUAGCUCAAUUACACACCUUGUGUUCAAUGAUAUCCUCCACAAUUCGAAGUUUUUCAUCCAGUUUAUUUAUUUCAGUUGUCAGCUGAAAUUGGAGUAAAAAGAUUCACAGAAAUAUUAGUAGGAAUUCAGAGAAAUUUAUACGUAUUUUUCUCUUACAAGUAUGCCGUGAAACUGAAUUUGUUGUGCACACUUUGGUUUAUCAUGAGUUGAACACCUUACGAUACAUGUGGAUUAUAGCAGCUAAUCAUGUUUCCAAGUUUAAAUUAUAUGGGGUGUUGUGUGUGAUAACUGAUAUGGAAUCUAGAAGGAUAUACCUGUUCUAUAGUCUUUUCUUUAAGAGCUUCAGCUGCCCUUAAGGUCUUGAUUUCACACUGGCAAGUGGCUAGUUCCUUGAUUUUUUCUGCAAUCAUGAGGUCAAAAUUUAGUACAGCAUAGACAGUUGACUUGGAAAAAGUACUAAAGAUCAUUCUUAUACAGUAUUCAUCUUGUCCAUUUUGGGUAUGCAUAAGAGAAGUAUCAUUCCCUUGCUAGAUGGUAUAUGCAAUCUGUGAAGCCGAAAUUAUUUGAGAAUGAUGAAAGUCAGAAGAAAAUAGUGGUGGGGUCGGCUUUUAAAUGACCAGAGGAACCUGGUCAAGGCUCUUGGAAAACCAAAAGUGAGAGAAAAUAAUGCAGAAAAGAGGGAAGAACAAGACAGAGAUAUGAACCUUUGAGCUGGUUUUGCAAACGAUCAAUCUCCAGCACAGCUGGGUCUGUCUGCACAAGUGGAAGCUCUUCUUCAACAUGUUCUUCGUACCCUACCAUUCUUGCUUCUUUGAAACAUAAAAAUGCAGAGACAGGUUCGUACAAUUCAACAAUGAGUUGGGAGAUUAGAGGGUUAUAUAUAUAUAUAGUAAUAUUUGUUUUGGUUUGGUUAUGGGUGGUGGAUAAAAGGACAAAAAUGCAGAGUCCAAAAUCACCAACAACAAAGGUGCGCUAGGUGGGUUAAAUAAAUAAGUAUGAUAGAAGUUUCUGUACAAAGAUGACUGAAUCCACUCGUAUAAAGAAUUGACGGUAAUGAAAUGACCUUGCUCUAUGUUGAAGCAAGCAUGACUGGGCUUCAAGUAAGAUGUGAAAAAUGCAUAAAUAUUAAUUAUUUUGGGCUAAGGAAGGGGAAAAAAAAUGCUGUUAUCCAACUGUUGUAGCUUUGUCACCUAGGUGAUGACAGUGACUGAGGGUAGGUCUUCUACAAAUUGCUUGAGUAGUUUUUUCUUCCCCAUUUUUUUAAAAAAUGUUUUUAUUUCUUAUAAUGUUCUAGAACCUUUUUAUUUUUUAUUUUUUUGCGCAUUAAUUCAAGUGUGUUGGGUUUGGGAAAUUUAUUAUUGUUAGCAAAAGCCUCAUGUGGGUCAAAUAAUGCUAGUGCUAUAUAUUUGCAAAAUUAAAGAUCAAAUUAUAAAUAUUAAAUGUAUACUUAGUUUUUAGUUCUAUGUAAACAGCAAGCUAACAACAGCAUACUGGAAUGUAAAUUACUUAUGUUAAAAUAGAGACCAAUUUUUUUUUUAAAUCUAUAAGUACUUACAAUAAAAAGGUGGUACUAGAAUUUGAAGCAACGUAACCAAUAUAAUAGAGGAAUAUUGGGAAAUAAUAUGAUGAACAAUGAAUUAUGACAUUGUCAUAGUCUGUCUAUGUCAAUGGAAACAAAGCAGCAUAGGAUUGUUGAAUUGCUUAAGCGCUAAAAUAGUGCUUAUAUCAUUCUCUUUUCUAAAGUCAGACACUCCAAGAUUGUAUUUCUAACUACGAAACCAAAAUGAAGCAGUCAUGACUCUACUUUGAAAGCAAUGAACUAAAGUGGCUUCAAAGGACAAACUUACAUAUUUUCAUAUUUAUAUCACCCAACUUGUCAAUUAAUGCCAUCUUUGCUUAAAAGUUUAAUUUCAAUAAAAUUUAAAACCAGCUUCUCUCUGUUUUCCCCCUUAAAAGCACAUUGCUACACUUGGCAGUACUUGGUCUGCACAUUUUCAGGUUUAACAUGGCGACCAAGGAAGAUUUCACCAACAACAACUACUACUUAUUUCAAGACCAAAGAC
Long non-coding RNA from Prosopis cineraria, 2500 nucleotides. RefSeq lists it as uncharacterized. The transcript has 3 exons. Lineage: Eukaryota; Viridiplantae; Streptophyta; Magnoliopsida; Fabales; Fabaceae. The record is from RefSeq and is a predicted model, not a curated record.